UACAUAGGGGGCAAGCGUUAUCCGGAAUUACUGGGUGUAAAGGGAGCGUAGACGGUAAUGUAAGUCUGGAGUGAAAGGCGGGGGCCCAACCCCCGGACUGCUCUGGAAACUAUGUUACUAGAGUGCAGGAGAGGUAAGCGGAAUUCCUAGUGUAGCGGUGAAAUGCGUAGAUAUUAGGAGGAACACCAGUGGCGAAGGCGGGUUCCUGGACAUUAACUGACGCUGAGGCACGAAGGCCAGGGGAGCGAAAGGG
RNAcentral lists this ribosomal RNA (253 nucleotides) under uncultured bacterium. RNAcentral's name for it is "partial 16S ribosomal RNA". It matches the Rfam family "Bacterial small subunit ribosomal RNA", at positions 524 to 776 of the family's 1533-position model. The record is from RNAcentral.